Coffea eugenioides is the source of this 328-nucleotide long non-coding RNA. RefSeq lists it as uncharacterized. The record is from RefSeq and is a predicted model, not a curated record. Lineage: Eukaryota; Viridiplantae; Streptophyta; Magnoliopsida; Gentianales; Rubiaceae. The transcript has 3 exons.
GUGCAGACCUUGAGGAAACAAAGCUGGGAAAAUCUGGUCAGUCUGCAAUUUUUAACUCUUAAAGGAAAGAGGAAGUAGCCGUGAACCAGGAAACCAACUCGAGACUCGAGAGUAGUCAUUUGAAUCUUUGGAGUUGGAGAUUGAAAAGUGAUUGGAUGGAAUUGAAAAGUUGUUUUGGGAAAUUCCAUCACUAUGCGUAUAUAUUGGAGUCACGUUUUCUUUUGUAUUUUAAGAUGGUUGAAUCUUCUGUUUUGAGUUGAUGUAAUAUUAAGAAUGGAUGUUUAGAACGUGUAUUUUGUUUCUUUUAGUGGACAAAUCUAUGUUUCAA